Zophobas morio is the source of this 1126-nucleotide long non-coding RNA. RefSeq lists it as uncharacterized. The record is from RefSeq and is a predicted model, not a curated record. NCBI's taxonomy places the organism in Eukaryota, Metazoa, Arthropoda, Insecta, Coleoptera, Tenebrionidae. The transcript has 2 exons.
AAUUCUUACGUGAAUACAUGCACAAUCAGCAGAACCCAAAUUCUUUGCCAUGUGUAUAUCUUGAUGAAACAUGGAUAUUUGAAAAUGGUUCGGUAGUUAGGUCAUUGCAAGACGAUAGUGUCAUAAGUAUCAGGAUGUUCAAAAUAGAAGGGAAAAUUUAGUAAUGUGUCAGUUUCACGUUAGUUAUUUAUUCUUCUCACUAUAUUUUAGGUAUAUUGUAUUACAUGCAGGUACAAGCAAUGGAUUUAUUGAUGAAGCAGCGCUAGUAUUUUCUUCUAAUACCAAAAAUCCAGACUAUCAUGGCGAAAUGAAUCAACAGAAUUUUCUCAAGUGGUUUCAAUUGCUCAUGAACCUUGAAGAACCAUCACAGAUUAUUAUAGACAAUGCAAGCUACCACAGUACCUUUGCAAACAAAUGUCCCAGUGGUUCAUGGAAAAAAGCAGAAAUUCGUGAAUGGCUUUAACAACAUGACAUAAGUUCAGAUUCACAGCUGUUAAAAACGGAACUUCUUCAUUUGGUUGCACAAAAUAAACCUCCAAAAACGUAUGUUGCCGUGAAUUGGGCCAACAGAAUGGCCAUAGAGUAUUGCGAUUGCCGCCAUAUCAUUGUGUGUUUAACCCUAUAGAAAAUACUUGGGGAAUUACUACAAAUUUUUAUUCCAAACACAUUGGGCGUGAUGGUUAUGGUCAAAAAAUUCCGUGAAAAUGUGGAAAGAAGCGUUAGCACAUGUCACGCCCACAAUGUGGAAAAAUACUGUUGACCAUAUGAAUAAAAUAAUACGGGAGUGGUGGGAACGGGAAUUAGUAUUUGACCGUGAAGAGAUUGCGCCGUUUAUAAUCGACAUUAACGAAGAUUCACAUUAUAGUUUUAGUGAUUAUGACAGUGAAGAUUCUAAUACUGCAGAGGGCAUUCAGCCACUGUAACAUGUAGGUUAUUUUCCAUUACCAUCCUAAUUGAUUGUACUAGCGGCAUGUUCUGCUGAUGUCUUUUAUAAUCACACUAUCACUUCACUGGCCAAAUAUACAAAUCACUGGUCAGACGACGACGUUGUGCAACAUGCAUACUUAUUAUUGUUUAUACUUUACUUUUGUAUCUAUUCCAUGUCAAUAAAGUAACUUAUUCUGUA